CCUACGGGAGGCAGCAGUGAGGAAUAUUGGUCAAUGGUCGGGAGACUGAACCAGCCAAGCCGCGUGAGGGAUGAAGGUACAGAGUAUCGUAAACCUCUUUUGUCAGGGAACAAAGUCUGGGACGCGUCCCCGGAUGAGUGUACCUGAAGAAAAAGCAUCGGCUAACUCCGUGCCAGCAGCCGCGGUAAUACGGAGGAUGCGAGCGUUAUCCGGAUUUAUUGGGUUUAAGGGGUGCGCAGGCGGUCUGUUAAGUCAGCGGUAAAAGCCCGGGGCUCAACCCCGCCCCGCCGUUGAAACUGGCAGUCUCGAGUUUGAGAGAGGUAUGCGGAAUGCGCGGUGUAGCGGUGAAAUGCAUAGAUAUCGCGAAGAACUCCGAUUGCGAAGGCAGCAUGCCGGCUCCACACUGACGCUGAGGCACGAAAGCGUGGGUAUCGAACAGGAUUAGAUACCCGAGUAGUC
This 459-nucleotide ribosomal RNA is filed under the name uncultured bacterium. RNAcentral describes it as "partial 16S ribosomal RNA". It matches the Rfam family "Bacterial small subunit ribosomal RNA", at positions 338 to 795 of the family's 1533-position model. The record is from RNAcentral.